Molecule: ribosomal RNA, 472 nt
Filed under: uncultured bacterium
Lineage: Bacteria
Description: bacterial SSU rRNA
Rfam family: Bacterial small subunit ribosomal RNA
Source: RNAcentral
UAGGGAAUCUUCGGCAAUGGACGAAAGUCUGACCGAGCAACGCCGCGUGAGUGAAGAAGGUUUUCGGAUCGUAAAACUCUGUUGGUAGAGAAGAACGUUGGUGAGAGUGGAAAGCUCAUCAAGUGACGGUAACUACCCAGAAAGGGACGGCUAACUACGUGCCAGCAGCCGCGGUAAUACGUAGGUCCCGAGCGUUGUCCGGAUUUAUUGGGCGUAAAGCGAGCGCAGGUGGUUUAUUAAGUCUGGUGUAAAAGGCAGUGGCUCAACCAUUGUAUGCAUUGGAAACUGGUAGACUUGAGUGCAGGAGAGGAGAGUGGAAUUCCAUGUGUAGCGGUGAAAUGCGUAGAUAUAUGGAGGAACACCGGUGGCGAAAGCGGCUCUCUGGCCUGUAACUGACACUGAGGCUCGAAAGCGUGGGGAGCAAACAGGAUUAGAUACCCAGGUAGUCCCUGAGCGGGCUGGCAAGGCGCAU